GUGAGGAAUAUUGCGCAAUGGGGGCAACCCUGACGCAGCGACGCCGCGUGGAUGAUGAAGGCCUUCGGGUUGUAAAAUCCUGUCAGAUGGGAAGAAGUGCAUAGUAUUUAAUACAUGCUAUGUUUGACGGUACCAUCAAAGGAAGCACCGGCUAACUCCGUGCCAGCAGCCGCGGUAAUACGGAGGGUGCAAGCGUUGUUCGGAAUUACUGGGCGUAAAGCGCGCGUAGGUGGCUGUUUAAGUCAGAUGUGAAAGUCCAAGGCUCAACCAUGGAAGUGCAUUUGAAACUGGACAGCUUGAGUACUGGAGGGGGUAGUGGAAUUCCCGGUGUAGAGGUGAAAUUCGUAGAUAUCGGGAGGAAUACCGGUGGCGAAGGCGACUACCUGGCCAGAUACUGACACUGAGGUGCGAAAGCGUGGGGAGCAAACAGGAUUAGAUACCCUAGUAGUCC
RNAcentral lists this ribosomal RNA (451 nucleotides) under uncultured bacterium. Its description in RNAcentral is "bacterial SSU rRNA". It matches the Rfam family "Bacterial small subunit ribosomal RNA", at positions 354 to 796 of the family's 1533-position model. The record is from RNAcentral.